Molecule: unclassified non-coding RNA, 86 nt
Filed under: fungal sp.
Lineage: Eukaryota; Fungi
Description: partial internal transcribed spacer region
Source: RNAcentral
GUUCACUGUCCCCGGCAAAAGCUCGCUGCCGAUUGCGGAUGCUCGCGCGUCGGCGCCCAGGAGCUUCAUGCGCAGAGCGGAAUCCU